GGAAAAUAGGGAUGUGGCCUCUUAUUUUUGAGGUGGCCUGUAGGCAGUGAGUGCUCCAUGUGAAUUAAAAUAGGAAUUUUCUGUUUGGCACUGUAUCAACAUAUUAAGAUCUUACAACUUUUUUUCUUACUCAUAAUAAAGUGUCAGUUUUGGAAUGUAUUUAACUCUAACCGCUAUGAUUUGUCAGCAGAAAUUAUUACUACAUCCCAAGAUGUUACUUUUGUCUUUUUGGCACUCAGAAUUUGUUUUGCUGGAGUAUUUGUUCCUUGACUCUGUACCACAUUUAAUUUUGAGACAUAGGCUGAAUUUGCAGACCUGCUUCUUAGAGGGAGCUUUUUUAUAACUAUAAACUGAGCAUGUAUAAUGUAGAAAUUCAGUCUAAAAUCAUAUAAUCUCUGCAGUACUGUUUCUGCAGUAGUUUGUCAGAAUCUCUUUAUUGUUCCUACCUUGCUGAGACUACUACGAGAGAGCAAAGUGCAGCUGAUAUCAGCAUUUUGUAGGGACUUUUGUCUCACUAGAGUAUUCUGUUCUCAUGCUUUAAAGAUAAUGAAGUGAGUCAUUGUCUUUACAUCUCAGGUGAUUUAUUAUAGACAUAUAUCUCUAAUGCUUUCUGAGAAAAAAAACAUCUUUUGUUCAGACUGGUGGCUUUGAACUAGUAGGCUGGUUGAGAGUUUGCUUAACUAGGGAGUUGCUUUGAUUUAUUUUUUUAAUCUAUAUACUGAACACACUUCAGCAGACAAUGGAGCUCACAGGAGCUUUUUGGUGAUUUAUUUUUAUAGGUAUAGUGCUUUGGCAUCAAGGAAGAAUAGAUUCAUCAACACCUUUUAAUCUAUGUAGAUAUGUCAGUGGUUCUAUUUUCCUCCUGAAAAAGACUUAUCUGCACGGGAUGCAGGUUGGUUGCUCUGAUGGAGUAGUAGACUGGGCAUCUUGAAGAAGAAAGGUCAACUUCUGAAGCUUUGAGAGUAUAGCAAACUUCCUAGGCUGAGCAUCAACACAGACCAUGUGUUAACAUCUCCAACCCAUUCUAUCAUUAGCAUUUCAUAUACUUAUUUAUUAUCUAGUUCAACUUUUGCUGUGAGGAAUGCAAAGCUGAGUUAUAACAAGUAGAAUAAAAGGAAAACUAAGUUUCUGAACUGAAAAAGAAGCACUGAAUAUCCGGAGUUGGAAGGAAUCUACAAGGAUCCUUGAGACCAUCUACUGACAUCUUCCUUCGCCUAGCUGGCGGUGCUAGGUCUGAGGCACCCCAAAAAGUUGGGAAGGAUUUAAGUUAGGUAGGGCAGAACAAUGAGGAAUUAUAGGAAGCCCCAGUACACGACUGAAUAGCUAGUUUUCCCCCAGUUUUUACUUUUGUAAAUUGUUCUUGCUUUUCCACAAUGUAAUAGACUGUGACGGCUACUCAGGAGCAAAAAUUUAGAGUUUUAUAGUGUUCAGCAGGAGUUUAUUAAAUAUUAAAGAGUAAGAACAAAAAUAGCAAACAGAAGACAACUUUAUGCUCCUGUUUCAAAUAAUGGCAGUGGCUUUGCCCUUUGCUUGGAUACUGAUUGUAAGCAAUUCUCUGUUCCUAUUGUCUUGGAAAGGAUAUGGUAGGACUUGGAAAGGGCCUGAGGCUAGUGACAGAGGUGAUCUAAAGCAUGGCAUAGCUUCCAUAGCAAGAAUGACUGAGUGGGCUGGGACUCCUCAGCCUGGGAGAGACGAUUUAAAGCGGAUACUAGAUGUUUACUGGAUCUGAAGUGGCAAGAAGCAGCUGGAUGGGAACUGACUGUUCACUGUCUCUUCCAGUGCUAUACAAGCUCAGGCUUACAAUUGAAGCUGUUAGGAGUUAGCUUCAAAGCAAACAAAAGGAGGUGAUGGUUCUUGCAGUGCAUGUUAGGUCAGGGAAAGUUCUUGCUCAAGGAUGUUGUGUCUGCAAAAAGAUAAAGGGUGGAAAAAAAAGGAGACUGAGCAAAUAUCUGAAAGGUGUUUUGAGAGUAACCAAAGGACAAGUUAUGUCAGGCUUGGGAUGUUCACAAAGCUGAUAAUUGAAGCAGAAAGAGUUGCAAGGGAGUAUUCUGUACUACCUCUCCCUUGGCAUUUGCUUGUGGGCACCACUGGAGACAGGAUAAUGCACUAUAUAAUCCUGAAUGGUCUUAUUGCCAGAUAGUACCUUUCUGAUAGAUUUAAUGUAGUUGCUUUAUCACUGUUGCGUGAUUUUCUUUUCUGUAUGGGAUUCAUUUUCCAGAAGUUGUCUCUGCCUUCUGUGUAAGCUGGUCUAGACUCCCUCUGUAGGCAACAGAAAGCAAUAGCUGUGACGAGUUAUCUUUUGAAGGUGCCUGUUUCUCUCUGACCAGUGAGAACAGACAGGCUUGAUAGCUUGCAUGUCCUCUGGAUGGUGGCCAACAGACAGCCACAGUACCAGAGACUUUGUUUUGACCUGCCACUGGUGGGAAGCCUGCAUACCGCAGGCAUCUGUCAGGGUAAAUGGAUGACUAAAGAAGUUAUUGCACGUUGUACUGACCUAAGACUUAUUUCUUGAGGGACAUGAUUUUUCCCCCUAUACAAUGUGCCCCAGUCCUUAACGAGUAUUUCUGGAUAUUGCUAUUAAUGAAUCAGCUUUGACUUUCUGGUGAAUUUCAGAUAAAUGCUUCUAGACUUUAGCAUGUCAUCCGCUCCUUUUGAAUGUUACGAACAACAAACAUCUGCAAGCAACUGUGAGAGCAAGCAGUACUACCAGCCAGCACCUGCCUGUUCAGCUGCAACAUCUUGCCAGAGAUUCAUACUCCCACCAAGUGAGUGCUUCUGGAAUCCAGCAGUCGUGUCUUCUGGAACAAGGAACAGAAAAUGAUGAAACCAGAAGCAGGGCUACAGUUGUUUCUGAAGAUGUACCUGGAGAGCUGCUGGAUUCACAACCUGUUUUACAUGACCAUGUAGAAGAUGUUAACAUCUUUUAUCUCAAGACAGGAAAUAAUGAAGGAAAAAUAUUUGACUUCAUUGUGAGCUCCGAGUGCAGUUUUGAUGGCUUCAGUACUGAGGAUGUGCAUGUUAAGCAGUAGAGAGGAACAGACUGCAAUACCAGGUUCUUCAAAGAAGAUCUGUACUGCAGAUAGAGGUGGAGAAGAGAGUUAUGAUGGGAAGGGCAGUGGCUUCCCAUGGGCAGACCUGACAUGCUGUUACCUUUCCUGUCUACAAGAUAAGUCUACUCAUCUGAUGACUCAAGUCAUAUGACAAACCGCUGUAGCACCCACUCUACAGAACUGUAGUCAGUCCAGAUACAUUCCUCAUUUGGAAUGUGCACUUUUGCAAUAUUUGGAGAAAGAGGAAGAAAAUGAAGACAAAAGUUACUAACAGAAGACAAAUAUGAAAUUUCAUCUGAUGCUGAAGGAGCAAGUAUAGUUACCUCUUCUUGCAAUGAGCCAACAAUGCAGGUCAGCAUUUCAGUGACCUCUGCUCCUGUGCAAGAAAAUACUACUCCUAACAGAAGUAAGGAAAUUAUUGUUCAGAGUAGACAAAAAGCAUUAAUAUGACAAAUAAAUUUGAUAGUUGGUAUACAUUAAAAGUUGCUGUGUUGAUAGAAAUGGAUGUUAUCUGGAUGCUUAUGUGAAAAUACUUGUCACAGUGACUGCAUCUCAAACCUAAAAUACUCCUAAAACUUGUGGCCUAAUACUUUCACCCUAACAGCUUCCUCCAUGGGACGUUUUAAAGCAAUCUUAAUUAUUAACAAUCUGUUAAAUAGGGAUUCUGAUGCUGUAGUUCAAGAGCCAAUGACUUUUGAAAAGCUGUGUUGCUGACUUAGUGAAAGAUACUGUCAGUGAUCACUGCACUCACAGCAUCUGUACUCCAUGACUGCAGAUCUCAUAGAUCAAUUUGGUGCUAGUUUGGUAGCAACUGUUAUAUCAUAAACAAAAUUUUAAGUGUAUGCUUAGGCUAUUUCCUGUACUAUUUUGGAUCAUAAAAAUUAAAUUAAGAUGCAAAGAAAAUUGUGUUUUUCCUAGAGGUAGCAAAAGUCUUUCAGCCUGAUCUGAGUGAUACUUCAAAUUAGCAGAAACACUUAGACUUGCAGGCUGCUAUUCAUUGUCUUAAAUAUUUGCAGUGUGAAGGCCUUCCAAGCCAGUGCAUUUAGUUGAAGCAUGGUGUUUAUUCUGCAGCAUUGAUCUGUCUCGCUGUUGAAGGAAAACAUGCCAGAGCAGGACAAAAGAAGAUAUGGCUUUAUACUGCCAAAUUGACCGUGCUUGUUAAAGUGUAACUCUUGUCACUGAGUGUUCUGUGGUGUGGGGGAUUAUUUUUUAUUUUUUUUUUUACUGAGCUUUCAGUAGUUGUAUCUUGUUCCCGCACAAUCUGGCCUGAAGCUACUAUACUGUGGCCAGAAUAUUUCUAGGACACAAUCAGGGCCAUUGUUUUUGUUUGUUUUGUUACUAUUUUUCUCAAGUUUUCCUAAAGCUGUCUGAAGUCCAAAAGAUCUUUUUUUCAUCUUUCAGGCUGUGAAGAUUGUGUAGCUGUUUUUCUGUUUCUCAGAAAAUGGCUAACAAGAACUCUCCUUUGAUAAUCCAAAAAAAGAACUUUCAAACGCAGGUUUUCAAGUCAGGUGGUAAUUUCUUAAGAAAGUUGUAAGUACGUAGCACACUAAUUCAGUCUCAGCAAAAACAAAUGGGCUUGAACAGACUAUUGAGACAGUGUGUACUUCUGCUAUCCCUGAAUCCAUAAAUAUUUCUGCUUAUUCUGCAGCUGCUCAGAUACUGAGCGUAAUUGAGUAGCCAUCACUUCACCGUGCAAAUCAGGGUGACUGUGUAGAUCAGUUGUUUUAUCCCCUUCGUAUUUUCUGUCACCAAGGAACAGUGCUGUGUUGCAUCUUUUUUCUCACUGAAGAAAAAUUCCAUGAAAUUCUGUUCAUAUAAUGUUAUAGUUGCUUAAGAUCAAAGUCAUUAUUAACAUCUGUGGGCUUUGUGCUUGCAAAACAACUUAUUUGUUUGUGUUUUGUUUUUAUAUUUACUGGUGACUUUUCUCUUUUCCCCAUAAAGGCUAAAGGUCUGUAGUUAAAUGUGAUUGUCAUCGAAGUUCUGCAAAGACCUUUGCCAGCAUGUACCCACCUGAGGGGCUCUUCUGGACGGUGUGAAGAUAUAAACCUUCUCUGUUGUGUCAUAACAGCAGUUAAAAGAAAGAUGUGAUGUAGCAUUAAGGAGCAGCAAUGCUCGUUAUCUGAGGGGCUGUAGUGAAGUACAAAAUCAGAUAGUAAAUCGCACUAGUAAAUUAGAAAUAGUAGUAAAUCCAAGCUAAAGAUCACAGACUUCAGUAGGAUACAAGAUCUAUUAUACAUCUAUCCUUGCUUUUUUCUUUUUUGUAGCCCUAGAUAAAGUAUCUUGCUUAGAAGGAUGGUAUGAAAUUCAAAACGUGAGCAGGCUGUUUCAGGAACUCAUAGUCUAUGGAUAAAAGUCACGAUUUCUGGGGUGUGGUUAAUUUCUUUCUAAGGUUGACUUCAAGAGCAGACCUGCUGAAUUGCAAGUCUUCCUCUUCAACUGUAAAGGAGAAAGGUAUGUAAAUAAGUAAAAUUAGGUGAGGUGCCCCCCUUCACACAGUGGGGUGUAUCUGCUCUAACUUUGGCUAGUUAGUUAGAUCUCAAGAUGAGAGAGCCUUCCUGUGUAGAAAGUGUAAAGAAUAGAGUAUUAUAGAGAAGAAUAGCUAGUCCAUGUGACUAGCUAACAGAAAUAAUGUUAAAUCAGAAUUUUCCACUUCUGCAUUGAGUUAUACAGGUACUUCUCAAACUGUGUUAACACAGUGACUUUGCUAUAGCACAGAGAUAAGGGAACUACCGCUUUGGGUAACUGGUUAUAAUACAAUGUCUGUAGUCUUGUGGAUGGCCAAAAUGGCUACUAAGCAUGUAACAAAUAUAUAUUUAUUUUUUUCCAGUCAAACUGAACCUCCAGUAUCAGUUAUGGUGGUUUCAUUCAUUAAGCUCAAGUUUUCUCUUGUUUGGAAUGGCUAAGCCAUGCUCGUGCUACACUGGAAGUUUGAAAAUUGGCAAUCCCUAGAAUAACUUCUGUAAAGCUUUUAUUAAUAGCAUUCAGCAUUUAGUUAAUAGUAUUCAGACAGUAGUGUUAGAACCCUACCACAAAAAUAAAAAAUGGCAUAGGAGGUGGGGAAAAAGAUCUAUUCUUGCGUAGACCCAUACAACUGAAAUAAUCUCACAUAUAAAUGAUGGAAAAGUGCCAGUAAAUAACAGAAAUAUCCAUGGAGACCACCUAAACCCAAAUCUAAAUGACAGAGGUGAUAUAUUCUGCUGUUCUUUGUGCUUAUGAGGGAAAACAUCCUGUGCAUUUACAGCAGUUAAGAUUACCAGGCAGCUGUAAAAUUCUGCAUAUAUUCGGUUAUCUCAGAUCUUUUAACAUUUUUAGAAAGAAGCCCUGAACUGAGCUCUUCAUUCACUUGGGAUUCAUCCAUAAGAAGCUCUAUUUGUCAUUACUGCAUUUCAUAAUAUUUGUUUUUGUUUGGCUGUUUUGAUGAUAAAGUAACAAAAUAACUUCUUACUGGGCUAUUUGCACAAUAAAAAUAAUCACAGAA
Anas platyrhynchos (mallard) is the source of this 6528-nucleotide non-coding RNA. Lineage: Eukaryota; Metazoa; Chordata; Aves; Anseriformes; Anatidae. The record is from RefSeq and is a predicted model, not a curated record.